Molecule: unclassified non-coding RNA, 477 nt
Filed under: rhizosphere metagenome
Description: partial ribosomal RNA internal transcribed spacer region
Source: RNAcentral
GUAGGUGAACCUGCGGAAGGAUCAUUAACACGUAUCCAACGUUAAAAACCCCCCCGUGAACCUACAACAUACGUCUCCGCUAACGAUACCCAUGGGUAAAUCAUUGCCGAACAGUUUUGAUUCAGGGACAUCAAGCACGUUAGUGUCCUGAUAAAAGAGGCGCUGCAACAGACGGGUUCCACGCCCCAAGGAGUCAAAAGCUGUCAGCGAGUGGCAAGUGAGGGGGUUGUUAAAGUGUUCAACCUGAUUGUCAUCUUGUAAGUUGAGAGUGUCUUUUGAUUUUGAACGGGUGGGUCACUGUGGCCGACACGGCCGUGAUGGGAUUCUGGCGUCGUGCCUAUAGGUACGAACUAGCGCCCGACAUGACCUCUUGAAACGACAGGGGCGUAACCGGACCAAAUUUUUAAUCUGCCCCUUACCCUAACAGGUACUCGGGUGUCAAACGAACAACUGUUAACAAUGGAUAUCUUGGUUCUC